GCCUGUGUGGCUCAGUGGAUAGAGCAUCGGCCUGGGUACCAAAGGGUCCCGGGUUCGAUUCCUGUCAAGGGCA
Molecule: transfer RNA, 73 nt
Filed under: Myotis brandtii (Brandt's bat)
Lineage: Eukaryota; Metazoa; Chordata; Mammalia; Chiroptera; Vespertilionidae
Rfam family: tRNA
About the family: Transfer RNA (tRNA) molecules are approximately 80 nucleotides in length. Their secondary structure includes four short double-helical elements and three loops (D, anti-codon, and T loops). Further hydrogen bonds mediate the characteristic L-shaped molecular structure. tRNAs have two regions of fundamental functional importance: the anti-codon, which is responsible for specific mRNA codon recognition, and the 3' end, to which the tRNAs corresponding amino acid is attached (by aminoacyl-tRNA synthetases). tRNAs cope with the degeneracy of the genetic code in two manners: having more than one tRNA (with a specific anti-codon) for a particular amino acid; and 'wobble' base-pairing, i.e. permitting non-standard base-pairing at the 3rd anti-codon position.
Source: Rfam by way of RNAcentral